Regulatory RNA element from Gracilibacillus halophilus YIM-C55.5, 151 nucleotides. It matches the Rfam family "Ribosomal protein L10 leader". Rfam says of the family: This family is a putative r-protein leader autoregulatory structure found in B. subtilis and other low-GC Gram-positive bacteria. It is located in the 5' untranslated regions of mRNAs encoding ribosomal proteins L10 and L12 (rplJ-rplL). A Rho-independent transcription terminator structure that is probably involved in regulation is included at the 3' end. The record is from Rfam. NCBI's taxonomy places the organism in Bacteria, Bacillati, Bacillota, Bacilli, Caryophanales, Bacillaceae.
CAAAUUAAAUACAUGAUACCGUAGACAGCAGGUGCCGAAAUGGCUUAAUUUCCUGCCGAGGUGUGUCGAUAAAUGAUCGAACGGCGAACGAUUUUCGUUUGAUAUACUGGCAGAACCUCCGUGUCUACAUGGAGGUUCUUUUUUAUACGGU